Molecule: ribosomal RNA, 1346 nt
Filed under: uncultured bacterium
Lineage: Bacteria
Description: bacterial SSU rRNA
Rfam family: Bacterial small subunit ribosomal RNA
Source: RNAcentral
GACGAACGCUGUCGGCGUGCUUAACACAUGCAAGUCGAACGGAAAGGCCCUGCUUUUGUGGGGUGCUCGAGUGGCGAACGGGUGAGUAACACGUGAGUAACCUGCCCUUGACUUUGGGAUAACUUCAGGAAACUGGGGCUAAUACCGGAUAGGAGCUCCUGCUGCAUGGUGGGGGUUGGAAAGUUUCGGCGGUUGGGGAUGGACUCGCGGCUUAUCAGCUUGUUGGUGGGGUAGUGGCUUACCAAGGCUUUGACGGGUAGCCGGCCUGAGAGGGUGACCGGCCACAUUGGGACUGAGAUACGGCCCAGACUCCUACGGGAGGCAGCGGUGGGGAAUAUUGCACAAUGGGCGGAAGCCUGAUGCAGCAACGCCGCGUGCGGGAUGACGGCCUUCGGGUUGUAAACCGCUUUCGCCUGUGACGAAGCGUGAGUGACGGUAAUGGGUAAAGAAGCACCGGCUAACUACGUGCCAGCAGCCGCGGUGAUACGUAGGGUGCGAGCGUUGUCCGGAUUUAUUGGGCGUAAAGGGCUCGUAGGUGGUUGAUCGCGUCGGAAGUGUAAUCUUGGGGCUUAACCCUGAGCGUGCUUUCGAUACGGGUUGACUUGAGGAAGGUAGGGGAGAAUGGAAUUCCUGGUGGAGCGGUGGAAUGCGCAGAUAUCAGGAGGAACACCAGUGGCGAAGGCGGUUCUCUGGGCCUUUCCUGACGCUGAGGAGCGAAAGCGUGGGGAGCGAACAGGCUUAGAUACCCUGGUAGUCCACGCUGUAAACGGUGGGUACUGGGUGUGGGGUCCAUUCCACGGGUUCCGUGCCGUAGCUAACGCUUUAAGUACCCCGCCUGGGGAGUACGGCCGCAAGGCUAAAACUCAAAGGAAUUGACGGGGCCCCGCACAAGCGGCGGAGCAUGCGGAUUAAUUCGAUGCAACGCGUAGAACCUUACCUGGGUUUGACAUGGAUCGGGAGUGCUCAGAGAUGGGUGUGCCUCUUUUGGGGUCGGUUCACAGGUGGUGCAUGCCUGUCGUCAGCUCGUGUCGUGAGAUGUUGGGUUAAGUCCCGCAACGAGCGCAACCCUUGUUCACUGUUGCCAGCACGUUAUGGUGGGGACUCAGUGGAGACCGCCGGGGUCAACUCGGAGGAAGGUGGGGAUGACGUCAAGUCAUCAUGCCCCUUAUGUCCAGGGCUUCACGCAUGCUACAAUGGCUGGUACAGAGAGUGGCGAGCCUGUGAGGGUGAGCGAAUCUCGGAAAGCCGGUCUCAGUUCGGAUUGGGGUCUGCAACUCGACCCCAUGAAGUCGGAGUCGCUAGUAAUCGCAGAUCAGCAACGCUGCGGUGAAUACGUUCCCGGGGCU